Molecule: ribosomal RNA, 42 nt
Filed under: Alternaria simsimi
Lineage: Eukaryota; Fungi; Ascomycota; Dothideomycetes; Pleosporales; Pleosporaceae
Also listed under: 1 other name
Description: partial 18S ribosomal RNA
Rfam family: Eukaryotic small subunit ribosomal RNA
Source: RNAcentral
UGUAACAAGGUCUCCGUAGGUGAACCUGCGGAGGGAUCAUUA